AGAGUUUGAUUAUGGCUACAGGACGAACGCUGGCGGUAUGCUUAACACAUGCAAGUCGAACGAGACGAGAUGGAAGGAUCCUUCGGGUGACGGAAAUCUUAGAAAGUGGCGAACGGGUGAGUAACGCGUGGGUAACCUGCCCUAUGGAAAGGAAUAGCCUCGGGAAACUGGGAGUAAUGCCUUAUAAUAUAUGUUUGUCGCAUGGCAGAUAUAUUAAACGCUCCGGUGCCAUAGGAUGGACCCGCGUCCCAUUAGCUAGUUGGUGAGAUAACAGCCCACCAAGGCGACGAUGGGUAACCGGUCUGAGAGGGCGAACGGUCACACUGGAACUGAGACACGGUCCAGACUCCUACGGGAGGCAGCAGGUGGGGAAUUAUUGCGCAAGUGGGGGACCCAACCCUGACGCAGCAAUACCGCGUGAGUGAAGUAAGGUUUUCGGAUACGUAAAGCUCUGUUAGUUGGGGAAAGAAAAAAGACGGUACCCAAGAAGAAAGUCCCGGCUAACUACGUGCCAGCAGCUGC
This 522-nucleotide ribosomal RNA is filed under the name uncultured bacterium. RNAcentral's name for it is "bacterial SSU rRNA". It matches the Rfam family "Bacterial small subunit ribosomal RNA", at positions 8 to 518 of the family's 1533-position model. The record is from RNAcentral.